GGCUCGUUGGUCUAGGGGUAUGAUUCUCGCUUUGAGUGCGAGAGGUCCCGGGUUCAAAUCCCGUAUGAGCGCA
This 73-nucleotide transfer RNA is filed under the name Danionella cerebrum. RNAcentral describes it as "tRNA-Ser". It matches the Rfam family "tRNA". Rfam says of the family: Transfer RNA (tRNA) molecules are approximately 80 nucleotides in length. Lineage: Eukaryota; Metazoa; Chordata; Actinopteri; Cypriniformes; Danionidae. The record is from RNAcentral.